This 2900-nucleotide ribosomal RNA is filed under the name Klebsiella pneumoniae. RNAcentral describes it as "bacterial LSU rRNA". It matches the Rfam family "Bacterial large subunit ribosomal RNA". Lineage: Bacteria; Pseudomonadati; Pseudomonadota; Gammaproteobacteria; Enterobacterales; Enterobacteriaceae. The record is from RNAcentral.
UUAAGCGACUAAGCGUACACGGUGGAUGCCCUGGCAGUCAGAGGCGAUGAAGGACGUGCUAAUCUGCGAAAAGCGUCGGUAAGGUGAUAUGAACCGUUAUAACCGGCGAUGUCCGAAUGGGGAAACCCAGUGCAAUUCGUUGCACUAUCGUUAACUGAAUACAUAGGUUAACGAGGCGAACCGGGGGAACUGAAACAUCUAAGUACCCCGAGGAAAAGAAAUCAACCGAGAUUCCCCCAGUAGCGGCGAGCGAACGGGGAGCAGCCCAGAGUCUGAAUCAGCUUGUGUGUUAGUGGAACGGUCUGGAAAGUCCGACGGUACAGGGUGAUAGUCCCGUACACCAAAAUGCACAGGCUGUGAACUCGAAGAGUAGGGCGGGACACGUGGUAUCCUGUCUGAAUAUGGGGGGACCAUCCUCCAAGGCUAAAUACUCCUGACUGACCGAUAGUGAACCAGUACCGUGAGGGAAAGGCGAAAAGAACCCCGGCGAGGGGAGUGAAAAAGAACCUGAAACCGUGUACGUACAAGCAGUGGGAGCACCUUCGGGUGUGACUGCGUACCUUUUGUAUAAUGGGUCAGCGACUUAUAUUCUGUAGCAAGGUUAACCGUAUAGGGGAGCCGCAGGGAAACCGAGUCUUAACUGGGCGUUAAGUUGCAGGGUAUAGACCCGAAACCCGGUGAUCUAGCCAUGGGCAGGUUGAAGGUUGGGUAACACUAACUGGAGGACCGAACCGACUAAUGUUGAAAAAUUAGCGGAUGACUUGUGGCUGGGGGUGAAAGGCCAAUCAAACCGGGAGAUAGCUGGUUCUCCCCGAAAGCUAUUUAGGUAGCGCCUCGUGAACUCAUCUUCGGGGGUAGAGCACUGUUUCGGCUAGGGGGUCAUCCCGACUUACCAACCCGAUGCAAACUACGAAUACCGAAGAAUGUUAUCACGGGAGACACACGGCGGGUGCUAACGUCCGUCGUGAAGAGGGAAACAACCCAGACCGCCAGCUAAGGUCCCAAAGUCAUGGUUAAGUGGGAAACGAUGUGGGAAGGCACAGACAGCCAGGAUGUUGGCUUAGAAGCAGCCAUCAUUUAAAGAAAGCGUAAUAGCUCACUGGUCGAGUCGGCCUGCGCGGAAGAUGUAACGGGGCUAAACCAUGCACCGAAGCUGCGGCAGCGACACUAUGUGUUGUUGGGUAGGGGAGCGUUCUGUAAGCCUGCGAAGGUGUGCUGUGAGGCAUGCUGGAGGUAUCAGAAGUGCGAAUGCUGACAUAAGUAACGAUAAAGCGGGUGAAAAGCCCGCUCGCCGGAAGACCAAGGGUUCCUGUCCAACGUUAAUCGGGGCAGGGUGAGUCGACCCCUAAGGCGAGGCCGAAAGGCGUAGUCGAUGGGAAACAGGUUAAUAUUCCUGUACUUGGUGUUACUGCGAAGGGGGGACGGAGAAGGCUAUGUUAGCCGGGCGACGGUUGUCCCGGUUUAAGCAUGUAGGCUGGUUAUCCAGGCAAAUCCGGAUAAUCAAGGCUGAGGUGUGAUGACGAGGCACUACGGUGCUGAAGUAACAAAUGCCCUGCUUCCAGGAAAAGCCUCUAAGCAUCAGGUAACAUUAAAUCGUACCCCAAACCGACACAGGUGGUCAGGUAGAGAAUACCAAGGCGCUUGAGAGAACUCGGGUGAAGGAACUAGGCAAAAUGGUGCCGUAACUUCGGGAGAAGGCACGCUGGUGUGUAGGUGAAGUCCCUGCGGAUGGAGCUGAGACCAGUCGAAGAUACCAGCUGGCUGCAACUGUUUAUUAAAAACACAGCACUGUGCAAACACGAAAGUGGACGUAUACGGUGUGACGCCUGCCCGGUGCCGGAAGGUUAAUUGAUGGGGUUAUCCGUAAGGAGAAGCUCUUGAUCGAAGCCCCGGUAAACGGCGGCCGUAACUAUAACGGUCCUAAGGUAGCGAAAUUCCUUGUCGGGUAAGUUCCGACCUGCACGAAUGGCGUAAUGAUGGCCAGGCUGUCUCCACCCGAGACUCAGUGAAAUUGAACUCGCUGUGAAGAUGCAGUGUACCCGCGGCAAGACGGAAAGACCCCGUGAACCUUUACUAUAGCUUGACACUGAACAUUGAGCCUUGAUGUGUAGGAUAGGUGGGAGGCUUUGAAGCGUGGACGCCAGUCUGCGUGGAGCCAACCUUGAAAUACCACCCUUUAAUGUUUGAUGUUCUAACGUUGGCCCCUGACCGGGGUUGCGGACAGUGUCUGGUGGGUAGUUUGACUGGGGCGGUCUCCUCCCAAAGCGUAACGGAGGAGCACGAAGGUUAGCUAAUCCUGGUCGGACAUCAGGAGGUUAGUGCAAUGGCAUAAGCUAGCUUGACUGCGAGCGUGACGGCGCGAGCAGGUGCGAAAGCAGGUCAUAGUGAUCCGGUGGUUCUGAAUGGAAGGGCCAUCGCUCAACGGAUAAAAGGUACUCCGGGGAUAACAGGCUGAUACCGCCCAAGAGUUCAUAUCGACGGCGGUGUUUGGCACCUCGAUGUCGGCUCAUCACAUCCUGGGGCUGAAGUAGGUCCCAAGGGUAUGGCUGUUCGCCAUUUAAAGUGGUACGCGAGCUGGGUUUAGAACGUCGUGAGACAGUUCGGUCCCUAUCUGCCGUGGGCGCUGGAGAAUUGAGGGGGGCUGCUCCUAGUACGAGAGGACCGGAGUGGACGCAUCACUGGUGUUCGGGUUGUCAUGCCAAUGGCACUGCCCGGUAGCUAAAUGCGGAAGAGAUAAGUGCUGAAAGCAUCUAAGCACGAAACUUGCCCCGAGAUGAGUUCUCCCUGAGACUAUAAGUCUCCUGAAGGAACGUUGAAGACGACGACGUUGAUAGGCCGGGUGUGUAAGCGCAGCGAUGCGUUGAGCUAACCGGUACUAAUGAACCGUGAGGCUUAACCUU